GCAUGGCUCAGUGGCAGAGCAUCUGCCUGCAGUGGCCUGCAGAAAGAUACUGGUUCAAUUACCACCAUCUCCAGUUAUGCU
RNAcentral lists this transfer RNA (81 nucleotides) under Sphaerodactylus townsendi. RNAcentral's name for it is "tRNA-Cys". Lineage: Eukaryota; Metazoa; Chordata; Lepidosauria; Squamata; Sphaerodactylidae. The record is from RNAcentral.